This 160-nucleotide ribosomal RNA is filed under the name Thaxterogaster herpeticus. RNAcentral's name for it is "Cortinarius herpeticus 5.8S ribosomal RNA". It matches the Rfam family "5.8S ribosomal RNA". Rfam says of the family: 5.8S ribosomal RNA (5.8S rRNA) is a component of the large subunit of the eukaryotic ribosome. It is transcribed by RNA polymerase I as part of the 45S precursor that also contains 18S and 28S rRNA. The record is from RNAcentral. Lineage: Eukaryota; Fungi; Basidiomycota; Agaricomycetes; Agaricales; Cortinariaceae.
CAACUUUCAGCAACGGAUCUCUUGGCUCUCGCAUCGAUGAAGAACGCAGCGAAAUGCGAUAAGUAAUGUGAAUUGCAGAAUUCAGUGAAUCAUCGAAUCUUUGAACGCACCUUGCGCUCCUUGGUAUUCUGAGGAGCAUGCCUGUUUGAGUGUCAUUAAU